GAAGCAACGCGAAGAACCUUACCAGGACUUGACAUCCCGCUGACCAGUCUAGAGAUAGGCUCUCCCUUCGGGGCAGCGGUGACAGGUGGUGCAUGGUUGUCGUCAGCUCGUGUCGUGAGAUGUUGGGUUAAGUCCCGCAACGAGCGCAACCCUUGGAUUGUGUUGCCAUCAUUCAGUUGGGCACUUACAAUCGACUGCCGGUGACAAACCGGAGGAAGGCGGGGAUGACGUCAAAUCAUCAUGCCCCUUAUGUCCUGGGCUACACACGUGCUACAAUGGGCGGUACAAAGGGUUGCGAAGCCGCGAGGCGGAGCCAAUCCCAGAAAGCCGUUCGUAGUUCGGAUUGCAGGCUGCAACUCGCCUGCGUGAAGCCGGAAUUGCUAGUAAUCGCGGAUCAGCAUGCCGCGGUGAAUUCGUUCCCGGGCCUUGUACACACCGCCCGUCACACCAUGGGAGUUGGCAACACCCGAAGUCGGUGAGGUAGCUCGCAAGAGAGCCAGCCGCCUAAGGUGGGGUCGAUGACUGGGGUGAAGUCGUAACAAGGUA
This 546-nucleotide ribosomal RNA is filed under the name uncultured soil bacterium. RNAcentral describes it as "bacterial SSU rRNA". It matches the Rfam family "Bacterial small subunit ribosomal RNA", at positions 953 to 1498 of the family's 1533-position model. The record is from RNAcentral.